Molecule: ribosomal RNA, 448 nt
Filed under: Bradyrhizobium sp.
Lineage: Bacteria; Pseudomonadati; Pseudomonadota; Alphaproteobacteria; Hyphomicrobiales; Nitrobacteraceae
Description: bacterial SSU rRNA
Rfam family: Bacterial small subunit ribosomal RNA
Source: RNAcentral
CAACUUGAGAGUUUGAUCCUGGCUCAGAGCGAACGCUGGCGGCAGGCUUAACACAUGCAAGUCGAGCGGGCGUAGCAAUACGUCAGCGGCAGACGGGUGAGUAACGCGUGGGAACAUACCUUUUGGUUCGGAACAACACAGGGAAACUUGUGCUAAUACCGGAUAAGCCCUUACGGGGAAAGAUUUAUCGCCGAAAGAUUGGCCCGCGUCUGAUUAGCUAGUUGGUGAGGUAACGGCUCACCAAGGCGACGAUCAGUAGCUGGUCUGAGAGGAUGAUCAGCCACAUUGGGACUGAGACACGGCCCAAACUCCUACGGGAGGCAGCAGUGGGGAAUAUUGGACAAUGGGCGAAAGCCUGAUCCAGCCAUGCCGCGUGAGUGAUGAAGGCCCUAGGGUUGUAAAGCUCUUUCGCCAGGGACGAUAAUGACGGUACCUGGAUAAGAAGCCC